This 1015-nucleotide ribosomal RNA is filed under the name uncultured bacterium. RNAcentral describes it as "bacterial SSU rRNA". It matches the Rfam family "Bacterial small subunit ribosomal RNA", at positions 359 to 1376 of the family's 1533-position model. The record is from RNAcentral.
GAAUAUUGGUCAAUGGGCGGAAGCCUGAACCAGCCAUGCCGCGUGCGGGAAGGAGGCCCUAUGGGCUGUGAACCGCUUUUGCCUGGGGGCAAUAAGGGCGUCGCGCACGUCCGAUGAGAGUACCAGGCGAAUAAGCAUCGGCUAACUCCGUGCCAGCAGCCGCGGUAAUACGGGGGAUGCGAGCGUUAUCCGGAUUCAUUGGGUUUAAAGGGUGCGUAGGCUGUGCGUCAAGUCGGGGGUGAAAUUCCGGUGCUCAACACCGGGGCUGCCCUUGAUACUGUCGCGCUGGAGUGCGGAUGCCGCCGGAGGAAUGAGUGGUGUAGCGGUGAAAUGCUUAGAUAUCACUCAGAACACCGAUUGCGAAGGCAUCUGGCGAAUCCGUAACUGACGCUGAGGCACGAAAGCGUGGGGAUAGAACAGGAUUAGAUACCCUGGUAUUCCACGCCGUAAACGAUGAUGGCUAACCGCCGGCGACACACUGUCGGUGGCCAAGCGAAAGCGAUAAGCCAUCCACCUGGGGAGUACGUCGGCAACGAUGAAACUCAAAGGAAUUGACGGGGGCCCGCACAAGCGGAGGAACAUGUGGUUUAAUUCGAUGAUACGCGAGGAACCUUACCCGGGCUCGAACGGCACCUGGAUCACCCAGAGAUGGUUGAGUCUUCGGACAGGUGUCGAGGUGCUGCAUGGUUGUCGUCAGCUCGUGCCGUGAGGUGUCGGCUCAAGUGCCAUAACGAGCGCAACCCUUGCCGCCAGUUGCCAUCAGGUGAUGCUGGGCACUCUGGCGGGACUGCCACCGCAAGGUGUGAGGAGGGGGGGGAUGACGUCAAAUCAGCACGGCCCUUACGUCCGGGGCGACACACGUGUUACAAUGGCGGCCACAGAGGGAAGCUACCCCGCGAGGGGAUGCGGAUCUCGAAAAGCCGUCCCAGUUCGGACUGGAGUCUGCAACCCGACUCCACGAAGUUGGAUUCGCUAGUAAUCGCGCAUCAGCCAUGGCGCGGUGAAUACGUUCCCG